GGUCAGUUGUUUUAGGUUCCUGGAGAUCAGGUCCUUUAAAGGAGACAUGCCUAAAAUAAAAAUAUAUAUGUAUUGUGAAAGGUAAACUGGAGGGUAACCAAUCCAUUGGAUUCCAAGUGGAUUUCCAAUGUGGUAGAGGAAAGUCUUCUGGUUAUGUGGUACUACCUGCUGAAUAUCUUGAAUGUCAUUGCUGUUGGUGAAGUUAUCUACAGUCUUGGUUUCCUCUCAUUUAAGGACAUGCAUGACUCAAGCCCGUCAAAGGAAUUCCCUAGUGGCCCAGAUAGAGGCUUAUCCAAAGAGAAAUCUGGCCCCUGCAUGAUCUGCUGUGAUGGCUCUGAGAUGAUUCAUCUUUGUUGAAGAUGAAGCAACAUUAUCAAACCACAGCUGACUUGGACCAGGACAAAUAAAAGUCUCUUUCUGGCCUCUAGCUGGUUGCACUUUCAAGGAAGCAUCAGAGUGAAACAGAAAACCACCUGUAGAUGACAAGGGACUUAAAACUGCUGUGGUUAACUUCACACUGACUGUGGUUGAUCCCAGAUAAUUGAAACUGUAGAAAGUGAAACUUAGGGUACCAGUUGGAGAACCUAAGAUGAGUAGAAGGUGGAAUUUCUUUUCCUCCCCAAGAGUAGCAGCAUUGGCACUGAAUCUGACACCACUUACGGACACUGAUAAUAAUAGUAACAGCUACUGACAGCCAUGUGGAUGGUGCCAGACACUGAGGAAGGUGCUCAGCAGGAGUGCUCUUACCUACUCCUCUCAGCCACUUUAUGAGGGAAACGUAAAGGAGAAUCCAUAGCUACAAAGUUAAGUAGUUUGUCCAAAGUUAUGUGGCAUUUAUUCGUCCUAGGCUUGAGGUCUGAAUCCUCCUUCUACCAUGCUACUUACUCUGCCUCCAGAUAAUCGUGGUGGUUUUUCAUAACACCCGAAACAAGAAAAAGGAAAAAUGACUUUAAAAGUUCUUGCAUAUUAUAAUCUCAUGUUAAAGCACCAAAUAAGGUCACUCAUGGAAAGAACCUUUAGCACAGAUUGAAAAAUGAGGACUUUUUACUUUUAUAGCUGUGUCCCACUUAGAAUCACUUUCAUCUAAAAAAAAAGCAGCAAUUUCAUGAAGUGCUAAUUUUAAUCAACUUACAUCUGCAUAAGGACUUCCAGCCUUCUCUUGCAUAUUCCAGUACAUAAUUCUCCCCUUUCCAGGCUAGACAGCACUGAAAAUAUUUACAACUGGACUUGUGGUUGCAUAUACCAGUGAAAACAUUAGACUGUCCUCUCCCAUUUCAAAGACCUUCUCUUUUUCUGAUUAUUAUUUAUGCAGAAGGGGCUUCCUUAGUAUAGCAAUACAUGUUAAAUGAAAUGAAAAAUCAGAGUAAAUUUAAGGCUCUUUUGCCUGUGAGAAAAGUUUGCCCAUUCUGUUUAUUUUCUCCUAAUAUGGUUAUGAAUUUCAGCAAUUUCUGAGUUGAGGUAAAAAGAGCAAACAUUUUGUUUUGUUUUAGUCUUUGUAAUUCUGAUAUGCUAUAGUGGAUCCUACAAUGAUUUUCACCACUCAAUAUAAAUGAUAUAGUUGGACACGGUUGCUUUUGUUAAAGUAGAUGGCCUUUACUGCCCUAAAAUGAUUUUAAGGCUCAAAAGUGGAGCAUUUCUUUUUCCACUCUCAGAAAUAACUUCAAAAUACACCUUUUCAUUUCAGUGGUUGGGAGCUAGGUAAGUUCUUAGCAGAUAUAAACCAAAAUUCGAUUUUUUUUAGAAGCACGAAUCUGCUUUCUAAGGACUCCUGACACCCCAUUAUGCACUGGAAAUCAGAAUCGCUUCUCCAUCCUCAUGUCAUGAGAUUGUACCCACUCAAUAUUAGGAGCUCAGGAAUGCGUCUAGUUCCUGACACUUAGUAAAUGGUGUCCUAGGAAUGGUUGUGCAUGAUUUUCCUCGUUUCAAACAUAUAUGUUCUCUUCUUCUUUUUCAGGCUCCAGGCGCCUUGAUGAGAUUGAUGAAUUUUCUUUUUUAAAACAAACAAACAAACAAAACCAUGCAUUUGUGUUACCAUUUCAUUGUUAUCCUGAGCCGAUUUCAUUGUUUGUUUGCUCCAACCAUGGAAUUCAGUAGACUGAACAUAAGCUAAGUCUCAGAAAUAAUACCUUUGAAAAUCAUCCUGAUUCCUCCCCUGUCUGAGUCAUAGAACACAAGUCUCCUCCAAAAAUGGUCCAUCUUCCAGGCUCCUCAAGGUUUCUCUGAUCCUUCCUCCCUCUCUUUCCCCUUUCGGUUCUCCUUUUGUAUACACAGACUCACAGAGACGUGUACAGGCAUUCUGCCUUUGUUUCUCUUUCUCUCCCUGUUGCCCCAAACUUCUGAGUGGUCACUGACAGGUAGCGAGUGGCUCUUGAUGCACUUCUCCCUUCAUAGUGGUGAUGAGAUGUUUAACUGGUUGAGGGUAGACAUCACUGAGGGACUGGAAGAGGUAGGAUUGGACCAGGUUUGAACUUGCAGGGUCAUUGUUCUUCCAUGACUGAUCCUCCUGUGCUCAAGGCUACACAUUAUCUUUUUUGUCUAAUAAUUGUGUAUCUCCACUACUUUCUUAGGUCUGCCUGUUUUUUCCUCCCUGGUAGGAUAAUAGAUCAGAAUGUUUAUGGAACACCAUGGCUGUUCAUUUUCAAAGAAAUUAGUUUGUGUUGCAGGCAUAACUAAAAAAUCAAUCAGGUAAUUGCUGGUGGGCGGCAUGUAUACCCAAAGGUGAUUUAGCCUGGUUUAUCUUUAUUCUCAAGGACUAGUCCUUUAAAUAUAAACCUCUUUAGAAGGUUUAAGACACCAACAUGAUUCUUCGCUAAAGCUCCAGAUAAAUGAUGCCCUAUCUGUGUUUACAAAGGCAAUAAAAAUAGACUACAGGAUGGUUACCUGGUCAAUUUAACAAAUCAGAAUGAAUUGUUUUUAAACUUGUCUUUAUAUCUGUCUUCAGGAAGAUAAACCUAAUUAUCUCUCUUCCAAAUGUGCAUUCUUAGCAUCUUCAUGAUCUUAAUUCAACUUCUUCAUCACUCAGAGGUCAAUAUAUGGCAUACCUCUUUUUCUUUUUUUUAAAUAAGAAAUCUACAUUUAAAAAGACAUUUUCCACGAACUUUACAAUGUGUAAGGAAUUUGAACAACAAUUUGGUUAUUUUGUUUACCAAUGCCAUUGAAGCAGCUAAUUGUGAAUAUGCUGGGAGAUGGGCCAUUACCAACUCAAAUGGGUAAUCAUAGAUAUUUGGGAGAGAUCCUUGCCAAGCUGUGAUAGGAAGAUAAUAGCCAUCACCAAGCAUCAUUAGGCAUUUACUGUUUUAUUUAAAUAAGACAAUAAGCUUAUGUUUUCUGGACAUAAAUACUUACACAGAACAAGCAUCUCUUCAUUUGACCUUUAAGUUACAUUAGUUACAACUACCAUUUAUUAUGAAUUUUACAUGUACAUUAUUGUCAGGCUAAAUACUUUUAUCAUUCCCAUUUUAUAGAUGAGAAAACCAAGGUGCAUGUCUUUCAUUUUUUUCUCUAUAUUGUUUUUGUGAGUCAAGGUUUUUAUUUUUUUAAAUUUUUUCAUUUGUGAAAUCAGGUAUAUUGGAACCUUUGGAGUUGAAUAGGGCUUAGUGAGUUAAUGGACUAUGUGGCAUAUUUAUUAAAUCAAGAGAAAAGCACUCUAAAUAUAUAACCUUAUGCGCAAUAUAAUCAGAAAUGGUAAUCUCUUAUCCUGUUUUGGGAGGCUCAAUAGAUAGUAAAUUAAAAAUCCUCCAAUGCGCAAUGUGCUAUAGACAUAAACGUGUGGAAAUACGUUUGUUUACUGCACUGAGUUUUACAUACCCUGAUGAAAGAACAUUUUAGAAAAAAAGUGACUUUAAAUUUUAAAAAUUCUUUUACUUAUUUUACUCCAUUUUGCCUUUUUGACACCAUAAUGCUUGAAAAAUUAUAAAAAAUUUAAAACAUAUGCAAAAUCAAGAAACUAGUUUGCUUUCUACCAUAUCUUAUCCAACCCAGUUUUCCUUCCUAAAGUCAACCACUCGAAUGAGUGUAAUCAGCAUACUGUGUAUUCUUCCAGAAAACCUUAUGCAGAAAAUAUUAGCGGGACAUACAGUCUGCUUCUCACCUUAUUAUUUUUUUGCUUGGCAAUGUAUCUGAUAGAUUGUUCUAAAUCAGUUCAUAAGUUGUUUUUCAUCUUUUAAACAACUGAAAAUAUUUUGUUGUCUGAACAAACCAUAAUGUAUCUAACAUGUCUCAGACUUCAACAUCUUCCCAGAUGAAGAAACAAAAAGACUCUCAUUUCGUUUUCUCUCUGUUUUUCUCAUGUGCUGGGGCUUGACUUUACCUAGACACUCAUGUCACUUAUCUGCUCCACUAUUCCUGAACAAACACAGCAUGUGUGACAUGGAUUUACUUUUCCACAUUUACAUAGCAUCACAUCUGCUUGCUAACUUACUUUGACGAUGAAUAGAGAAUUUGGGAUCGUUGUCAUAAUCUGCUGAAAACCAAAUUGAGGUUCAUUGAUCCUGGGGUCUUGAACCAACGUGUCAUUUAAGUCACUUUCAUUCUGUCAUCCUGUCCAGGAGGAAUUCAGUUUUUUUCCAAACAAUCUCUGUCUGGAUGAAUGGUUUAAUCCGUACAAUUUUAAAUAAAUUUGGUUAUUCAAUCUAAUAAUGAGCUUUGUCAGAGUCAGCAUAUAAAUAUUAUUAUGUAAAUAUAUGCAUUUCGAAAAUGCACUGAAGCUUAUUUUUUAAUUCAACAAAAAUACAAUGAGUGCACUAUUACAGGUGUUCAGCUAGGUAUGGAGAUACAAAGAUAAAUAGGGUAUGGUUUUUGCCCUCAAAAGCAAAAUUUAUAUCAUAAAUUUUCAGAAGCAUAUACAAAGAGGUAACUUCUAGUAUUUUGAAGGUAGAGGCUUGAUUUUGUCUUAUGGGGUUUUACAUUUGUUGGAAACUUAUAUACAUUAAAUUUACUGUGUUAAAAAGUAAUUGGGGUCUAGUUAGGCUAUCUGAUCCUCAAAUACCUGAAUGAUUAUAGUCCUCCAGACCAGACCAAUCAUGCAGGGAAUUACCUUGAGGCAAUGGUAGCUUCUAAGUGUACUAUGAAGCACGUUAUCUCAGAGAUCAAAGAGCAGAAAGGUUUAGGGGCCAAUUAAGAUACUUGUGUCAUAUAGUUUACUGAAUCAAUUUGAAAUACACAAAGAGAGUCAAGGGUAAGGAGAUGGGGUAAGUUAACAUUCUUAGAUUAGAGUCUAAGUGGACAAAGGAACACAAUACUUGAGUCCUGGGUAUCAUAAUGUUCGUAUGUCUUCUUUCUUUCUCUUACUUGCCAAUGCUGAGAAAAUGGAUAAAAAAUGAAUGUCAGCCUUCCUUGUCAAUAAUGUGAUUAUGAGAACCAGAGGUGAGGUUUGAGUUACAGGUUCACAGACAAAAGGAGUCCUGAUCCAAUGAUACAUGCUUGUUCUACACAAGUACAUAUAGGGCAGAAUGAGACUGUAGUGGGUAUCAUCAAUAGGUGGCUGAAUUUGAGGGUGACAUAGCUGUCAUCCUAGAGGUACCAUGAUUUUGUUUUUCCAUCUAUUUCUAUCUGAUCUUAAACAAAACUCCUUUAUGCACCAUUAUAAUUUUGGUUUAUUCUAUUGAUCAAUGAUUGGCAGGCCUUACACGUUACUAUGUCUAUAUAUAACUUGCCACAUUAAUUUUACCAAUGUCUCACAAGUUACUUGCUUACCCAUUAUCUAUACUUAACACGUUCUCUGAGUUUCACAUAUUUCUUAUAACUUUUGUUAAAUAUGCCUAACAAUUAUUACAAAUUCAGUCCAUCCUGUUUCUUUUCUUGUCUUCUAUAGCAGAAUUGAAUAUUCUUAAACAGUACAGAAAAUGUACAUUUAUAAGACCUUAUUCUUGAAUUCCAAUCCAUGUUCUACAUGAUGUUGGCCUUAAUUUCAAUAGUUCCAAACUGAAUUUACUGUCUUUCACGCUAAAAGACUUUUUGGUUAUUCUCUAUAAUGAUGAAUAGUGUGAAUUUUCCCCCAAUCAUAAAGUUACCUUUGCUUGUUUCCUCUUUAUCGGAAUCACUAACGCCUGUUGCUCUUUUCUUCAGCCUUUUAUCUUCUCUCCUUUACCGCUGCCACAGAUGUAGUCCCAGGUUUUCAUAAUUUCUUUUUGGAGCUAUUAAGAUAAUAUAUUAAUUAGUUUAUGUGUUCAAAGACUCUUCCACUUGCUGCCAGCUAUUUUUCUCCAAUACAAUCUGAUUCCUGAUUCCCUGUCCAGUAUUUUCCUGAUAUGGUUAGGCUUUGUGUACCCACCCAAAUCUCAUUUUGAAUUGUAAUCCCCAUAAUCCCCAUGUGUUGAGGGAGAGACAUGGUGAGUGGUGACUGAAUCAUGCGGGCAGUUUCCCCGUGCUGUUCUCAUGAUAAUGAGUUCUCAUGAGAUCUGAUGGUUUUAUAGGUGUUUGACAACUCCUCCUCCACAUGCUCCUCUCUCUCUCUAGCCACCUUGUAAAGAACAGACCUGCUUCCGCUUCUGCUAUGAUUGUAAGUUUCCUGAGGCCUCCCAAGCCAUGUGGAAC
Molecule: long non-coding RNA, 6534 nt
Organism: Cercocebus atys (sooty mangabey)
Lineage: Eukaryota; Metazoa; Chordata; Mammalia; Primates; Cercopithecidae
Exons: 4
Source: RefSeq, a predicted model, not a curated record